AGUGAACGCUGGCGGUAGGCCUAACACAUGCAAGUCGAACGGCAGCACAGUAAGAGCUUGCUCUUACGGGUGGCGAGUGGCGGACGGGUGAGGAAUACAUCGGAAUCUACUUUUUCGUGGGGGAUAACGUAGGGAAACUUACGCUAAUACCGCAUACGACCUACGGGUGAAAGCAGGGGAUCUUCGGACCUUGCGCGAUUGAAUGAGCCGAUGUCAGAUUAGCUAGUUGGCGGGGUAAAGGCCCACCAAGGCGACGAUCCGUAGCUGGUCUGAGAGGAUGAUCAGCCACACUGGAACUGAGACACGGUCCAGACUCCUACGGGAGGCAGCAGUGGGGAAUAUUGGACAAUGGGCGCAAGCCUGAUCCAGCCAUACCGCGUGGGUGAAGAAGGCCUUCGGGUUGUAAAGCCCUUUUGUUGGGAAAGAAAAGCAGCAGGUUAAUACCCCGCUGUUCUGACGGUACCCGAAGAAUAAGCACCGGCUAACUUCGUG
Molecule: ribosomal RNA, 492 nt
Filed under: uncultured bacterium
Lineage: Bacteria
Description: partial 16S ribosomal RNA
Rfam family: Bacterial small subunit ribosomal RNA
Source: RNAcentral